GAGCAUGUGCAUGAGUAUCGGUUUCUUUCGUUCAUCUUUAAAACCCUUUCAGUUUUAAUAAAACCUUUUUAGGGUUUAGUGGUGUACCUUUCACUUCUUCGAAUCGUCGUUGAUUUUAGCAGCCAUGGCGAGCACCAAAGUUCAGAGGGUUAUGACCCAACCUAUUAACUUGAUUUUCAGGUUUCUUCAGAGCAAAGCACGCAUUCAGAUUUGGCUUUUUGAGCAAAAGGAUUUGAGGAUUGAAGGCAGAAUCAUUGGUUUUGAUGAAUAUAUGAAUUUGGUCCUUGAUGAUGCUGAAGAAGUGAACAUCAAGAAGAAAAGCAAAAAGACAUUAGGGAGGAUCCUUCUUAAAGGAGACAACAUAACUUUAAUGAUGAACACGGGGAAAUGAUGAAGACUCUGUGGGACAGUUGUAAACUAUCUUUCCUGUCCAUCAAGGAGGAAUUUGCUAGAUUGGUUCCUUUGGGAUGUCUUUUUGCUGUAUUUGCUAAGGUUUUGCUGGAGGCAAAUGCCCGUUAUGCAAGGUUAUGAAAUAGAGCAUUUUGACGGCAAUCAGUUUUAGAUCUGUUGAUUUGGACUGCUUCCAAAUGCUGUGCAAAUUUCUAGAAGAUUACUUGAAGUAUGGAAUGUUCUAGACUUCUAGUAGCAUUUAUGGUGAGGAAGUUGUACAAGUAAAUUUUGGCAACAGAUUUUAUGGUGGAGGGUAGCAAUUUCUUGUAGUGAUUAUUCUUGAGUUCUCGUACUCAUUGUCUUAUUCUCCUAGGCUAUCUUUCAUUUAAUAGAAAUGGAAAUGUGUUAGUCGUUAUUGUUUGAAUCCUUAGAAAUUAUAAAGGAUAUAACAAACUGGGUAACUCUUCCAUCUCAUUCCAUCCAAUGCACAUUUUAACUUCUCUAAUUUGGGAGGUAUGGGAGGAUGAGCCAACUCUUUAUUUAAAAUAACCAUCAAAUUGAUUUUUUUUUUCCUUAA
RNA transcript from Cajanus cajan (pigeon pea), 967 nucleotides. RefSeq lists it as uncharacterized. The record is from RefSeq and is a predicted model, not a curated record. NCBI's taxonomy places the organism in Eukaryota, Viridiplantae, Streptophyta, Magnoliopsida, Fabales, Fabaceae.